Long non-coding RNA from Aquila chrysaetos chrysaetos, 390 nucleotides. RefSeq lists it as uncharacterized. The transcript has 3 exons. Lineage: Eukaryota; Metazoa; Chordata; Aves; Accipitriformes; Accipitridae. The record is from RefSeq and is a predicted model, not a curated record.
AGUUGUUUCUACGUUUCUUCCAAUGUGUUAAAUGACAGUAAUGGAUGCAGAGCCUAAAGCGGUCAACUUUCUAAAGGUCAGCUUUCAGCUGCUGCUAGAGUCUUAUUGGACUUUGUCAUCUCCUGGGAGAAGAACCAGAGUCUGCACUUAUGCUGUGGAUGACUCCUGUGAGCCUGCAAGAAAAUUGGUCUUCCCUAGUAUGCAACUGAACACUUGGAAGAUCUGUAAUGUGACCGAAAGCACAGGAUCUUUUACGUAAUAUUAAUUCUCUACUUAAAAACCUCAGGUGAUGGCAAAUCAGACAUAUUCUGAAAAUUUGAUUCAGAAGGUAACCCUUCUUUUUAAAAGAUGUCAUUUUCAAAGUGUUUAACUUUUGUUUCCUUAUGGGAA